GGGCCAGUAUAUGUGAUAAACAAAAGAAGUUGAGAUGGUUGCAACGAAUGUAUGCAUGAACUAAACGUGCUUAGCUAAUAUGAAUAAUGGGAUGCUGGUUUUAAAAAUAGUAGUUUUCAUUUGCCGAAAUUUGUCCGAGACAUCGUAUUAUUUCACAUUUCAUGUGAAGACAUAUGAGCAUAUCUAUUUGCGGUAAUUUUUUUACUGUUGUAUUUAUUA
Populus euphratica (Euphrates poplar) is the source of this 219-nucleotide long non-coding RNA. RefSeq lists it as uncharacterized. NCBI's taxonomy places the organism in Eukaryota, Viridiplantae, Streptophyta, Magnoliopsida, Malpighiales, Salicaceae. The transcript is spliced from 2 exons. The record is from RefSeq and is a predicted model, not a curated record.